Salvia splendens (bonfire salvia) is the source of this 1612-nucleotide long non-coding RNA. RefSeq lists it as uncharacterized. The record is from RefSeq and is a predicted model, not a curated record. Lineage: Eukaryota; Viridiplantae; Streptophyta; Magnoliopsida; Lamiales; Lamiaceae. The transcript is spliced from 2 exons.
UCCUUACUCUUCUUCUCCAUCGGCCAUUCCCCUUUUCCCCCAAAAUCCCAAUUCCAAAAGAAAGGAACCCUACUCUUCUCUCUUCCGCUUUCGACCUGGUCGGAUGUCACCAGAGCACGCCGCCGCUCACAGGCGUCGCCCCUCGCUCCCCAGUUUACGCCAAGAUCCCCCUCUUCCCUUUCACGUUUCGCUGAGUCCCUUACGACGACGUCGGCGUUAGGAUGCGAAGCCACCGCCGCCGCCAGCCGUCAAGGACGAGCAGCCAUCUUGCUGCUGCCGUUGUCGACUCCUCGGCGGGUCUGCAGAGUUGUCGCCUUGUCUUCGGCGUCUCGAAGAACAGGGCCACCUCCUGCGGUGUUGCUCAGCCCGAACUCUCUUCGCCGACACGCUCGCAACUGUCUAGCGGCUUUCGGGAUUCAGCCGACACUUGCUCUCGUCCGGCAGCCUCGACUAAUAAGCUAAGUUUUCCUUCUAGUUCAUAGCUUAUUUCGUGGAUUUCUAAAUGACAGUGGCUACGCGACAGUUGGGAGUGAUGAUGCGUAGUGUUUAAAUGGUGUUUACUGCACUUAAAUGUGGGAGCUCGAGUUACUAAUCUGGGCAGCCCUUCAGGCUACGACAUACUUGAUUGAGCAUUUUUGUUGUUGGAUGCUUAUCCUAUGUUAUUCCUGAACUAGAUGGCAGGGGUGUGUUAAAUCAUGCUGUCCUAAAAGGUCAUUCUAGCAUGCUUCGAUUUUCUAUAUGAUGAUAUGGAAAUCAAAACGAGUUGGGACUGAGUGAGGUUACCUUCUCCUCACAAUGCUAUGCCUUCCCCUUCUGCUAGCUUUGAUCUCCCCCACUCCUCCCCUUGUUGCUCAGUUUAGUGAGUAUUUUGUUAUGGGAAUGAAGGGUAGAACCGAGGGGAGUUGGCUUAUUUAUGCCCAGCUUGUAACUGAAAGCUGCACAAAGGCUGUUCUUUUGCAGCUCUGCAGAGCUUACCCUGUUCUCUUGGCCUCUUUUGUAACUGAUUCUGUUGUGUCAUGGCAGUGGUUGUUCCCUCUGCAACUCGCAGGGAUGUACUCGUGCAUUUAUUGGCAUUGUAGCCUCUUAUGUUAUCAAUUUGCAGGGUGUUUUGGCUCUUGUUUGUGACUGCCUACUCACUGAACUUUGUGUAACCUUUUCGCAGGUACUAGCUGGGGUACAAGUGGUUAGGAUUGGAGUGAAAGUGCUGUGAUUCUCUGUGCUUUGCUGCACUUGGCAGCCUGCGGUCUUACCCUUUUUAGCAAGUUGUUGGUCUCCAAACCUUAAAGAAAAAGGCUGGCUACACAGGGCUCGUUUCCAAUGCCCCAGCCCAUCGGCCUCUCCGAUUCUGGGUCGAGACGGCUCGCGCUGAAGGCCGAUGAAGUUCACUAGGGACUCUUGAUUGUUGUAGCUCGAUAUGAACUCCUUUUGUCUGCCUUAACAACCAUGUAGUAUCUAGAGUUGUUGGUGUGUAGUUCGUUUUUCCUUUAAUUUCAUCGUUAAAGAUUGUAGUUCUAGUUUGAGAUUCUGUAAUUUGUAAUUUGUACCCUUUCUCAAGAAAUAACAAUACUCUUUUCAUUCGAUAAAAAAAAAGUUCUAGCGUUUUAUUUCAUAA